RNAcentral lists this ribosomal RNA (253 nucleotides) under uncultured prokaryote. Its description in RNAcentral is "partial 16S ribosomal RNA". It matches the Rfam family "Bacterial small subunit ribosomal RNA", at positions 524 to 776 of the family's 1533-position model. The record is from RNAcentral.
GACGGGGGAGGCAAGCGUUGUCCGGAAUUAUUGGGCGUAAAGAGCGCGUAGGUGGUUUGUCAAGUCAUUUGUGAAAACUUUAGGCUUAACUUAAAGAUUGCAAGUGAUACUGGCAUACUUGAGCACAGCAGAGGAAAGUGGAAUUCCUGGUGUAGCGGUGAAAUGCGCAGAUAUCAGGAAGAACACCAGUGGCGAAGGCGGCUUUCUGGGCUGUUGCUGACACUGAGGCGCGAAAGCUAGGGGAGCAAACAGG